UACGUAGGGGCGAGCGUUGUCCGGAAUGACUGGGCGUAAAGGGCGUGUAGGCGGCCAAUUAAGUCUGGAGUGAAAGUCCUGUUUUUAAGGUGGGAAUUGCUUUGGAUACUGGUUGGCUUGAGUGCGGAAGAGGUAAGUGGAAUUCCCAGUGUAGCGGUGAAAUGCGUAGAGAUUGGGAGGAACACCAGUGGCGAAGGCGACUUACUGGGCCGUAACUGACGCUGAGGCGCGAAAGCGUGGGGAGCGAACAGGAUUAGAUACCCUGGUAGUCCCUGAGCGGG
This 281-nucleotide ribosomal RNA is filed under the name uncultured prokaryote. RNAcentral describes it as "partial 16S ribosomal RNA". It matches the Rfam family "Bacterial small subunit ribosomal RNA", at positions 524 to 803 of the family's 1533-position model. The record is from RNAcentral.